UGGUGCCCAAAGGGAAAUAUAUUUCCGACACUUUGAUAUAAGGGAAUCUGGAUGUUUAUGCGUGGUGUGAAAGCUAAUUUAUUAGAAUCCUAAACACAUAACAGGAUACCCACCUGUUAACACAGGGAAUAAUAUCAACCCUUUGGGUUUUUA
Erysipelothrix rhusiopathiae str. Fujisawa is the source of this 153-nucleotide non-coding RNA. Lineage: Bacteria; Bacillati; Bacillota; Erysipelotrichia; Erysipelotrichales; Erysipelotrichaceae. The record is from Rfam.